AGCUUGGUCUACAAUUGAGUCCAGGACAGCCAGGGCUCUGUUUCACAGAGAAACCUUGUUUUGGUUAAAAUUGUUGUUGUUAUUAUUGUUAUUAAUUAGACAAAUGAAAUAGUGAAAUAACAUGUUAUUGAAAAUGUGUUAGCUGGGUGUAGCAGUAUAUUGCUUAUAAUUGAUGAAUGAAAGUAAAAAGAUCUUGAGUUUUAAACCAGUGUCAGGUGAGUCAGUGUCUGAAAAGACAAGAAGUUUUUAUACCUUAGUAAAACUUGUUUACAUUCAUAUGUAAAAUGACUUUUUUUUUUCUGUAGACUAUUGACAACUGGAUAUAGUAAUCUGUGAUUUAUACUGUUUUGGACUUCUGUUUUAUUUUUGAGUUUUGUUGAUAUAGUAAUUACUUCAACUCUUAAUGACUUUAGCAAGAAAGUAUAUAAAAAGUAUGAGAAUAAAAGAGAAUUCUUGGAAACAUAGGGUUAAUGCCUGUAGUAGUGGGGAUCCAAAAGAGCUCAAGCAGCAAUCAGAGAGAUUUGGAGGAAAACCAAGGGAGUGGCACCCCCUAAACCAAGCAAUGAAGACAAGUCUAGGAGUAAGAAGAUAUGGUUAGCAGCCUCGAGUGCUGAAGAUAGAGGCUGGACUGAAGAACACAUUAUACUUUGCAUGUAUGGUAAUUGGUGACCUUAAUUAAGCUAAUGUCAUUGGAUUGUUAAUGACUGAAGGAGUAAGUAAUUGGUAGGUGAUCACUUUAGAAUUUUAAUAUGAAUUAGCUGUUUCAUUUAAAUUUGCACAAUAGAUAUGUUCUGUUUUAUAGAUAGACUAAGAUUAUGAGAAGAGAAAUAGAGUUGGAGUUAGGUGUCUUCUACAUUCCACUGCAAAGACAGUGGGAUGGAAUUAUAUCUAUUUAUAUAUGCAUAAAUACUCACCAAGUGGUAGGUACAGAAAAAGAGAAGUGUUACAUAUUUUGACUGGUUUCUCGUUUAUUUGAAGGAAUAAUACAUAGGAGGUAUCUGACAAGUGGUUUUUAAUUCUUCCUUUAGAUUUAAAGAACAUGUACAAAAUAACUUGCCUAGAGAUCUUUUAACUGGUGAACAGUUUAUUCAGCUGAGAAGGGAAUUAGCUUCUGUAAAUGGACACAGUGGUGAUGACGGCCCUCCUGGUGAUGACCUUCCAUCAGGAAUUGAAGACAUAACUGAUCCAGCAAAGGUAACCCUCUUAAUCACAUGGUCAGUGAAUAAGAAACUAGGUAGCAGGAAUGGAAUGGUGAUAAAGUGUGCCAUUUAGAUCAGUAUGAUUUAAGAAUGAAUUUUAAGGAGAAAGUUUUACCAUGACACACCUGGAAGUAACUUACUCUAGAAAAAAUAAUUUACUUUGAUUGCAGUCUACUAUUCCUAUUGUAGAAAAUACAUAAGAAAUUGGCUUUUUGAAGUUGUGUUUUAAAUCAUUUUUAAAGCAGGGUGUGGUGGCACACACUGUUAAUGCCAGCAUUUGGGGGGCAGAGUCAAUUGGAUCUCCAUUAGUUCAGGACAGGCUGGUCUCCAUAAUGUGUUCCAGGUUUGCCAGCACUAUAUAUACAGAGACCCUGUCUCAAGAAAACAACCUAAAACAAAAUUAAAUACUCUAGCUACUGAAGAAUGAAAUAUCUGUGGAAGAUAUUUAAAUGUGUGCUAUUGAGAAUUUUUAGUAUGUAACUUAUAAGUUUUAAUUUUUUUCUUUUUUUUCAAGCUAAUUACUGAAAUAGAAAAUAUGAGACACAGAAUCAUUGAAAUUCAUCAAGAAAUGUUUAAUUAUAAUGAGCAUGAAGUUAGUAAGAGGUGGACAUUUGAAGAAGGUGUAAGUGUUUUGUUUUAUAGUCUUAAAAUAUAAAAAUAAGAUUUUUUCUUAUAGUAGUGACACCAUUGUGAAUUUUUCUUUCUGUAUUAGUAAUAAUUCAAAGUGUGCAUCUCAGUUGUAUUUGACAUUUUCUAUGACCAGCUUUAGAAUCUUACUACAUUUGUAUUUCAAGUGCAAGAUUCCUGAUUAAGGUGAAUUCCUUUAAAAAUCAACUUUAUUGUGCUAAAUCUUGUGGACAAUAAAAUAACAGCUGUUCUAAGGGCUAGGUUCAAUUUGUAGAAUGCUUGCCCAACAUACACAAAUCCCUGAGUUUGAUCCCAGCCCCAUGUAUAGACCAGGUUGGAUGCCAAGUCUUAAAUCUUAGCACUUGGAAGCUAGAGAAAAAAGGUUCAAAAGUUGAAAGUCAUCUUCAGUUACAUCAGUUCCAUAUCAGCCUUGCUACGUAGGACUUGAUCUCAGAAAUUAAAAACAACACACCCAACCAUCUACAGAUGAAUGAUGCUUUUGUCUUACGAAUUUAACUAAUUUCUGUUUGUAAGGUAUGUUUCAUACUUCAUUUGCGUAUUUGAAGUAUGCAUUUUGUUAGUUCACAAGAUAUGUACUACCAUCAGCAUAGUUGAUUUACUUUUUUCUCAUGUUUCCUCUUCAGUUUUUCUAACCCUGCUUACUCACCUGCAGCUUAGCUUCCUCAGCCCCAAUCUUAAGGUUUGAUGUAGCUUUGUUUUUGUAAGUUAUCCUUUCAUGAUCUAGCCUGUGAAUAGAUAUGUGUGUCUGUUGUGGCUGACUGUAAAAUAAGUUUUGAUAAAUAAACAAUGUAGCUUACCUUAGUAAUAAAAAUAAGGACCCUCUUAAAAGACCAGCCUGGAGUACAUAUUGAGUUCGAAGACAGCCAGGGCUACGUUCAGACUUUGUCUUAAGGACACACAUAUCUCUCUUCAAAACUGUAAUG
This 2770-nucleotide long non-coding RNA is filed under the name Mus musculus (house mouse). Its description in RNAcentral is "long non-coding RNA chr12:65052257-65055027". The record is from RNAcentral. Lineage: Eukaryota; Metazoa; Chordata; Mammalia; Rodentia; Muridae.